Molecule: long non-coding RNA, 1213 nt
Organism: Nematostella vectensis (starlet sea anemone)
Lineage: Eukaryota; Metazoa; Cnidaria; Anthozoa; Actiniaria; Edwardsiidae
Exons: 2
Source: RefSeq, a predicted model, not a curated record
AGCAUUAACUACUUAUUUUACAGUCAAGUAAGUAAAGCAUAUGAUACUUAUGAGUUAUGAGCGAUUAAUUAUAAAUUUUUGUGAUUACUCUAGCUUGUUACACUAAAAGUUAUAGAACGCACAAUAAAAUAUUCCGGUUCCGAAUUUAAACGACAGUGGAUAAAAUAUUUUUAUUAUUACAAAGUGCAGAUGGACAGGAUAGUUCUGUGAGAAAUUAGGAGACUGAAUAGUCCUAUUCACAGUCCCCGCCGCCAUCUUGGAUACAAACAUGAAAACAAGGCGAGAGUUGACUCAUAAUCAAAACAAACAUUGUUGUCAUUGCUGAGUUUUUGGCAAAAAUGGUUCUAGUUUAUCAAAAUGUCAAUCUCAAUUCGUUAGAAGACAUUCAGAAACUUUCUGUAAAGAGUCUUAGAGAUGUUUUACGUUCCUACAAAGAAAAUACGAGCGGCAUAAAGGCCGAUCUCGUCCUAAAAGUCUACGCGAUUCUUAUGUCACACGUGCUAGAUGGCGGGCCAAGUGUCCGGAAGUAGAAAACCCGCAAGAUUGCGUUACUUUAUAAUACUGUAUUACGUUACAUAUUUAGUUUUGUUAUGUGAUCAUGUUGUAAUUCGAGAUAGGUAAAAAAGGGGGUUGUGCCCCUAGAGUUGAGAUGCGAGUGUACUAUUACUACGGAGAGUUUGUGAUCAAGAAAUAAAGUAAAGAGAAUAUAAGUGAGUUUAUUUGGUUGUCCCCGACAAGCUCAACACAAGUUCAAAGUCAAACUGAAUUAUCAAGCACUGGCCAAGUUUCUCAUAUCUAGUAAAAGACAAGUGUUAGUGGUAGUGCUCCCCCAACAUUACAGGAGGGUCUUUCCAUUUGAAGCUAUAGCAGCAGUCAGCUGUACUUUAGUAGUGCCCAGUCUUUUAACAGUCUUCAUAAUAAAAUCUUGUAGGACAUGCUCACAAUGCCACAAAUACAAUUGUCUGCAAUAGAAAGCCUGUUUUACUUUUUUUUUUAAAUCUAUGUCUCGUACUAUAUACCAGAUUUCUGUUACAUGAUAAUAGCAAACUCAAGUAUAGAAUAUGUGAAAAAUUUGUUUUGGUGAAGAUGAGAAACAACUGACACCCUUCAGUGCUUAUGUACAGUAGACAAUUACUUAUCUAUAAAAAAAACUAAAAAUAGUAAAAGCUAGCUGAAAAAAUGUAUAAAAUAGUAAUAAAUUUCAUUUCUAAUA